GACGAACGCUGGCGGCGUGCUUAACACAUGCAAGUCGAACGGAAAAUUUUACUUCGGUGAAAUUCUUAGUGGCGAACGGGUGAGUAACGCGUAGACAACCUGCCUCUUAGAUGGGGACAACAUCGCGAAAGCGGUGCUAAUACCGAAUGAAGUGGAGCUUCCGCAUGGAAGCAUCACCAAAGGUGGCCUCUAUUUAUAAGCUACCACUGAGAGAUGGGUCUGCGUCUGAUUAGCUAGUUGGCGGGGUAAUGGCCCACCAAGGCGACGAUCAGUAGCCGGUCUGAGAGGAUGAACGGCCACAUUGGGACUGAGACACGGCCCAAACUCCUACGGGAGGCAGCAGUGGGGAAUCUUCCGCAAUGGACGAAAUUCUGACGGAGCAACGCCGCGUGAGUGAAGAAGGUUUUCGGAUCGUAAAGCUCUGUUGUUUGAGACGAAUGUGCAGACUUUGAAUAAGGGUUUGUAAUGACGGUAUUAAACGAGAAAGCCACGGCUAACUACGUGCCAGCCGCCGCUGUAA
Molecule: ribosomal RNA, 520 nt
Filed under: uncultured bacterium
Lineage: Bacteria
Description: partial 16S ribosomal RNA
Rfam family: Bacterial small subunit ribosomal RNA
Source: RNAcentral